Molecule: ribosomal RNA, 492 nt
Filed under: uncultured Glomus
Lineage: Eukaryota; Fungi; Glomeromycota; Glomeromycetes; Glomerales; Glomeraceae
Description: SSU rRNA
Rfam family: Eukaryotic small subunit ribosomal RNA
Source: RNAcentral
AGCAGCCGCGGUAAUUCCAGCUCCAAUAGCGUAUAUUAAAGUUGUUGCAGUUAAAAAGUUCGUAGUUGAAUUUCGGGGUCAGUAGGUUGGUCGUGCCACCGGUACGUACUGGUUUCACUGAUUCCUCCUUCCUGAAGAACCGUAAUGCCAUUAAUUUGGUGUUGCGGGGAAACAGGACUGUUACUUUGAAAAAAUUAGAGUGUUUAAAGCAGGCUAACGCUUGAAUACAUUAGCAUGGAAUAAUGAAAUAGGACGAUCGAUCCUAUUUUGUUGGUUUCUAGGAUUGACGUAAUGAUUAAUAGGGAUAGUUGGGGGCAUUAGUAUUCAAUUGUCAGAGGUGAAAUUCUUGGAUUUAUUGAAGACUAACUACUGCGAAAGCAUUUGCCAAGGAUGUUUUCACUAAUCAAGAACGAAAGUUAGGGAUCGAAGACGAUCAGAUACCGUCGUAGUCUUAACCAUGACUAUGCCGACUAGGGAUCGGAUGGUGUUAAU